UCUCCUUCCUACUGCCCGUUAUGGGUCUCUUGGUCCCGGGGCUGCCGGUACACGGGGUAGGACCAGGCCCUGGUCCCCAUCCAUGAUGCAGCCUUCCCCCUUGUCUGGCCACUGCCCGUGCUCCCGGUUAUCCCCGGCCACACCCUGGUCUCUGUCCGCAGCCAUCCCGUUGUUCCCAUCCCUUGUCACACUCUGGCCCCCAUUUCCAGCCAGCCACGCCCUGGUCCCCGUCCCCAGGGGCAUUGUUCUCAUCCCUGUUCCCAUCCCCAGGGACACUGUCCCCCUCCCUGGCCGUGCCACGGUGCCCUGGUUCUCAGCCACGUCCCUGCCAUGGCCCCGCGCCUGUCCCGGCCCUUUCCCUGCCGUGCCCAGCCCUUCCAGCGCCUCUUUGUCUGCUCGGGCAGUGGGAACCAGCGCUGCGGGGCCCAGCCGAGGGACAAAGACUCAUCCCCCCGGGCAGCUGGGGACGAGCAGGGAGCAGGGCCAGGGGGUGAGCAACAGCGGGAGGACACAGGGGACAAAAGCCCCCAGGGCAGUUUUGGGCAGGAGGCUCGGACAGCAGCAGCUGCUGGGCGGCAGCUGGUGGUUGGGACACAGCUGGGACAGUGGGACACGCGUCCCCUGGCCACCCCUCCAUCUGCUGCAGCCCCUGCACAGCCCCCCCGAGCCACCAGCCCCACAACCCUGGGGUUUCAUACUCCUGGGGGGGGGUUCCCCCUCCUGUUUGUUCUUGCAAAGCCCACAGAGGCUGGGGGUUGUCUCCCCAAGCCAGGAGUGCUGGGGGGCUCGGGCCCUGCAGAGUGACCCCACAACACAUGCAUGGCCCCAGCUGCUGCAGGUGGAGCUGCCAGGAUGCCCCCCCUGCUGAGAAAUCAGCUUUUUUCCCUGCUGUUUCCCACAUUAUGCAGAUUUCUGGGCAGAUUCAAGGUUCCCAUGUCCCUGCUGCCAAACCAAUGUCCCCAGCACCAUCCCCAUGUCCCCGCUGCCAGCCCCAUGUCCCCACUGCCAGCCCCAUGCCCCUGCUGGUGCCCUGUUUCUGGGGCGCUGCUGGGGCUGCAAAGCUGCAGACAAAGAGGGGAUGGGAUUUGGGCAUCGCCCACCAGAACAAAGGACCAGGUGGCCCUGGCUUUGCUGAGUAGAGAAAAACCAGGAGAUUUGGCUCCCAACAGGCUGGUCCCG
This 1179-nucleotide long non-coding RNA is filed under the name Lonchura striata (white-rumped munia). Its description in RNAcentral is "domestica (Bengalese finch) lncRNA (ENSLSDG00000016393.1)". Lineage: Eukaryota; Metazoa; Chordata; Aves; Passeriformes; Estrildidae. The record is from RNAcentral.